UCCUGACCCCGGCCCAUCCUGACCCAUCCUGACCCAUCCUGACCCCGGCCCGGCCCCGGCUUGUCCCGGCUCCCGCCCAUCCAGCCCCUCAAGUGUCCCGGCCCCGGUGUGCCCCGGCACCGGGGCUCGCACGGGCUCUGCCAGCAGAAUUGCUUCACGGAGGAUGUGAUGGAUGUCCUGUCCUGUCCUGCCCUGCCCUGCCCUGCCCUGCCCUGGAUCUUCCCGUAACAUUUUCGUUCGAGCUCGUUAAAUCCUCCAUGUGCCAAGCCGCACAUCACGGGGUUACUGCUGUCUGACAAAUUGGCAUUGUGUGGGUUCUUCCUGCCAGCCUCGCUUGCCUUUAGGCCUUGCGAUGAUUUAUUGCCACCUAAUCCAUUGCUGCACACCCCCAGAGAACUGGGAGAACAAACCUCUGGGCAGCUUCACCUCCGACCUGCUCAUCUCUACAGACUUGUCUGAGAACCUGGACUCCUGUUUGACCCUGUUUUGCCACCACUGGCCCUGCUCUACGUGUUUGUUUGGGCACUGUGGGAGCGUGCCCUUGGUGAGGUCGCUGGCCUGCCUGCUGCCUUGUCACGGCCCUGGCUGCACCUGCUCUCGCUGCUCCUGGCAAUGCAAACCUGCUCAGGUGGGGGGCUUCCUUCUGAUGAAUGUCUUACUUGCUUUCAAAAUGGUGAUGUCAAAAUUGGGUUCUGCAAUUUUUUUUUUGGUGCAUGUAUAGUCAACACUAAAUGCAGAUCUUAAAAAUGCAGAUCUUCUAUAGAUGUCAUAAAGAAGCCCUGCCAAAAUUACUAAGAUUAGCCUGGGGACGUGAUCCGUGUUAUUGCUUUCUUUCCCAUAGUCUAUGUAUCUCUACUCUCUAUUUAGGAUUUACUUGCUUUUACACCGCUAAAAGCGUUGGUUUUGCCUCCUCAGGAUGUUUAUGGAUCCAGAUGCUAAUUUAAAUUUAUAUCAAGUCCAGAUGUCCUUCUCUUGCAGACUGGUUUGAUUACUAAUCCUUUAUAGCCUAAGAUCUAUAACCUACAUUUUCUUAUUAAUCAGCACAAUUUAUUGUAUAAUUUUUGUCAAUAGUAUUAUUAUUUUUAUACAGGUUUAUGGCACUAUUUGGUUUUCCUGCUAGAGACUGUGUUACAAGGGAAGACUUAUAAAAAAUUACAAUUGUUUCUUCACAAGAAAGGAUCUGCCUAUGCUGCUGUUGCAAUCGUCUACAAUUGUUUUACAUUAAUUUCUCGUAAGGAUUGCAUUGAUAUCAUUAAACUUGUUGGUGAAUGUUA
Molecule: long non-coding RNA, 1274 nt
Organism: Passer domesticus (house sparrow)
Lineage: Eukaryota; Metazoa; Chordata; Aves; Passeriformes; Passeridae
Exons: 2
Source: RefSeq, a predicted model, not a curated record